AGAUGUCUUCAGGGCAGGGUGAAAUUCCCGAUUGGCGGUACAGUCCGCGCGCGUGAUACGCAUGAUUUGGUGCAAUUCCAAAACCAACAGUGACAGUCUGGAUGAAAGAAGAUACCA
This is a non-coding RNA of Flavonifractor plautii ATCC 29863, 117 nucleotides long. The record is from Rfam. NCBI's taxonomy places the organism in Bacteria, Bacillati, Bacillota, Clostridia, Eubacteriales, Oscillospiraceae.